AUGUGCAUAGCUUGCUCAUCCAAUAAGCUAUCUAUAUACUCCCAAAUACCAAUAGAGGUUACGGCCAUGGCGAUAGUUGGCUUGUCAAAUGCGGGCGACCGCCUGCCUCCCAAGAGAGCGGUCGGCGACGACGAUGAAGCUGCCGCAGCCGACUACCGCCUCAAAGGCGUGAGGCACCUCUCCGACGCCGGCAUUACCAGGCUUCCAGGCAAGUACGUCCUGCCGGCCUCGGAUCGCCCCGGCCGGAGCGUCAGCGCGGGCACGAGGGUGAAGCUCCCCGUCGUGGACCUCGGGCGCCUCCGCGUGCCCUCAGAGCGAGCGGCCGUGUUGAAAACUCUCGAAGCCGCAUGCCGGGAGUUCGGCUUCUUCCAGGUGGUGAACCACGGCGUGGACGUUGAUGGGGCGGCCGCCAGGAUGCUUGACGUGGCGGCGCGGUUCUUCGAGCUUCCCUUCCAGGAGCGCGCGCGGUACAUGUCGGCUGAUGUCCGCGCGCCCGUUCGGUACGGUACGAGCUUCAACCAGGCCAACGACGCCGUCCUCUGCUGGCGAGACUUCCUCAAGCUCUCCUGCGCGCCGCCGCUGCGCGACGUGGUGCCUUCGUGGCCCGACUCGCCGGCGGACCUCAGGGAGGUGGCGGCUGAGUACGCCUCGGCGAACCGGCGGGUGUUCGUUGAGGUCGUGGAGGCGGCGCUGGAGGCCAUGGGUAUCGGAGGAGGUGACGGCGUGAUGGAGGAGCUGGCCACGGCUGGUUCGCACAUGAUGACGGUGAACUGCUACCCAGCGUGCCCGCAGCCAGAGCUGACGCUGGGGAUGCCGCCGCACUCCGACUACGGCUUCCUGACGCUGGUACUCCAGGACGACGUGGAGGGCCUCCAGGUUAUGCACGGCGGCGAAUGGCUCACCGUCGACCCCGUCCCUGGUUCCUUCGUCGUCAACAUCGGCGACCACUUCGAGAUAUACAGCAACGGCCGGUAUAAGAGCGUGCUGCACCGGGUGGGCGUGAACUCGACGCGCCCGCGCAUCUCGGUGGCGUCGUUCCACAGCGUGGGGGCGGAGCGGGUGGUCGGGCCGGCGGCGGAGCUCCUCGACCAGGGCCGCGGCGGGGAACCACGGCGGUAUAUGGACACCGACUUCGCCACCUUCCUGGCUUACCUCGCCUCUGCCGAGGGCAAGCACAAGACCUUCCUCCAGUCAAGGAGGCUCGCCUUCGCUGACGUCCACUUUUGA
Molecule: ribosomal RNA, 1227 nt
Filed under: Triticum aestivum (bread wheat)
Lineage: Eukaryota; Viridiplantae; Streptophyta; Magnoliopsida; Poales; Poaceae
Description: partial small subunit ribosomal RNA
Source: RNAcentral